CAAAAGCCUGGUCCUGACUUUAUUAUCAGUUCUGACCUAAUUUACACAUGCAAGUACCCGCGCCCCCGUGAGAAUGCCCUCCACCUCCCACCCUCGGAGAAGAGAAGCCGGUAUCAGGCACACUCCUAGCAGCAGCCCAAAACACCUUGCCCAGCCACGCCCCCAAGGGAAUUCAGCAGUGAUAAACAUUAAGCAAUAAGCGACUAAAGCUUGACUUAAUUAAGGCCGAACCAGAGCCGGUAAAACUCGUGCCAGCCACCGCGGUUAUACGAGGGGCUCAAAUUGAUAUUUCACGGCGUAAAGUGUGAUUAGAGAAAAUAAAAAAUAAAGCCAAACACCCCCCCCCCAGCUGUCAUACGCUAACGAGGCCAGAAGCCCUAUAACGAAAGUAGCUUUAAUAAUCUUGAACUCACGACCAUUAAAAAACAAACUGGGAUUAAAUACCCCACUAUGCUUAAUCGUAAACAACGAUGGCACACUACAAAACCAUCCGCCAGGGGACUACGAGCACCAGCUUAAAACCCAAAGGACUUGGCGGUGCCUCAAACCCACCUAGAGGAGCCUGUUCUAUAACCGAUAAUCCCCGUUCAACCUCACCACUCCUUGUUAACCCAGCCUAUAUACCGCCGUCGCCAGCUUACCUCAUGAGAGACCAAACAGUAAGCCAAAUGGGUUCCGCCCAAAACGUCAGGUCGAGGUGUAGCCAAUGGAGUGGAAAGAAAUGGGCUACAUUUUCUGAACCAGAAUACCACGAAAAGUGCCAUGAAAAAUCACAACCGAAGGUGGAUUUAGCAGUAAAAAGGGAACAGAGAGCCCUUUUGAAGACGGCUCUGAGGCGCGUACACACCGCCCGUCACUCUCCUCAAAACACCCAAACCAAGAGUAUAUAAAGAAUAAAAUAACAAAAGAGGAGGCAAGUCGUAACAUGGUAAGUGUACCGGAAGGUGCACUUGGAAGAAU
RNAcentral lists this non-coding RNA (960 nucleotides) under Paraconger notialis (Guinean conger). RNAcentral's name for it is "12S rRNA". It matches the Rfam family "Bacterial small subunit ribosomal RNA". Lineage: Eukaryota; Metazoa; Chordata; Actinopteri; Anguilliformes; Congridae. The record is from RNAcentral.